GACGAACGCUGGCGGCGUGCUUAACACAUGCAAGUAGAACGCUGAAGGCGGAGUUUGCUUCUCUGGAUGAGUUGCGAACGGGUGAGUAACGCGUAGGUAACCUGCCUUGUAGCUGGGGAUAACUAUUGGAAACGAUAGCUAAUACCGCAUAAGAGCACAUGCUGCAUGAUAUUUGCUUAAAAGGUGCAACUGUACCACUUCCAGAUGGACCUGCGUUGUAUUAGCUAGUUGGUGAGGUAACGGCUCACCAAGGCAACGAUACAUAGUCGACAUGUGACGGUGAUCAGCCGCACUGGGACUGAGACACGGCACAGACGCCUACGGGAGGCAGCAAGAGGGAAUCUUCGGGAAGGGACGGAAGUCUGACCGAGAAACGCCGCGUGAGUAAAGAAGGAUUUCGGAUCGUAGAGCUCUGUUGUAGGAGAAGAACGAGUGUGAGAGUGGAAAGAUCACACUGUGACGGUAACUUACCAGAAAGCGACGGCUAACUACGUG
RNAcentral lists this ribosomal RNA (495 nucleotides) under uncultured bacterium. Its description in RNAcentral is "partial 16S ribosomal RNA". It matches the Rfam family "Bacterial small subunit ribosomal RNA", at positions 28 to 507 of the family's 1533-position model. The record is from RNAcentral.